GAACAUAGAUGUACAGGUUUUGAUCAAAAAAGGGGGAGAAAAUUGAAGAACAAAGGGGAGAAGAGGAGAAGAAAAGAACUUCGAGGACAUUAACAUUGAAGGUAUAAGAAUGACUAAUAUUUUGUUUUUCUACUUCGUUUUGGAUAAUUUGUUUUGCAGGAAAUCAAGACUUCAAAACUCCUAAUUGCGUCUAAGUCAUAGAGUCUGUUUUAGGAGUUUUGAUGUAAUUUUGAGUUUCAAAUUGUAUUUGGAUUACACGCGAGGAGUUCAAUAUUUUGGUGAUGACAAUUGAACUUCGUUUUUCUUUAAGAUGUAAUUUUUGAAUUGUUGUGAGUUUUGUCACGAAAUUGCCAAAGGGGGAGAUUGUUAAGUCUUGUGUGUUGGCAAGUUUCGUGGAUUGAGUCGGAGUCUUGAAGGAUCGGUGCGUAUUGUCGAAGAUCGAAGAAUCCAAGAUUUCGAAGAAAUCAAAAAAUAACUCACAACGUGAAUCACGAUGCUCAGAUAAAAUUUUAAUUCAUGUUAUGGUGAUUCAUACUUAAUUAUAGGCAUUAGAAUCAUAUAAUUAAAGUUUAGUGGAUUAGAAAGUGUAUUGGAACUUUG
Molecule: long non-coding RNA, 600 nt
Filed under: Ananas comosus (pineapple)
Lineage: Eukaryota; Viridiplantae; Streptophyta; Magnoliopsida; Poales; Bromeliaceae
Description: long non-coding RNA (ACOM_LNC014728)
Source: RNAcentral